AUGGAGGCCCUUAGGAGUAUUCUGCAAGUGUAUGAGGGUGCGUCAGGUCAAAGGGUAAACCUUCAGAAAUCAUCCAUUUUCUUUGGGAAAGGAUGCCAAGAGGACAAUAAGGCAAUUCUGAAAGGAGUAAUUGGGAUUAAUUCCGAAGCCCUCAGCGAGAAGUAUUUGGGUCUACCGACCGCGGUGGGCAGAUCUAAGGACGUAACCUUCAAGUAUGUUAAGGAGAGCGCCAAGGGCAAAGUGAUUGGCUGGAAGGGUCAAGGUCUAUCCAAAGCUGCAAAGGAAGUUCUGAAUAAAUCUGGUCUGCAAGCGACGCCGACAUUCACUAUGAGCUGUUUCAAACUCUCGAAGAAAAUGUGCCGGAACCUGACAUCCAUCUCUUCCAACUUCUAG
RNAcentral lists this ribosomal RNA (393 nucleotides) under Triticum aestivum (bread wheat). RNAcentral's name for it is "partial small subunit ribosomal RNA". The record is from RNAcentral. Lineage: Eukaryota; Viridiplantae; Streptophyta; Magnoliopsida; Poales; Poaceae.